RNAcentral lists this ribosomal RNA (441 nucleotides) under uncultured bacterium. Its description in RNAcentral is "partial 16S ribosomal RNA". It matches the Rfam family "Bacterial small subunit ribosomal RNA", at positions 338 to 795 of the family's 1533-position model. The record is from RNAcentral.
CCUACGGGAGGCAGCAGUAGGGAAUUUUGCGCAAUGGGGGAAACCCUGACGCAGCAACGCCGCGUGAUCGAUGAAGUCCUUCGGGGUGUAAAGAUCUGUCAGUGGGGACGAAACCUGACGGUACCCACAGAGGAAGCACCGGCUAACUCCGUGCCAGCAGCCGCGGUAAUACGGGGGGUGCAAGCGUUGUCCGGAAUCAUUGGGCGUAAAGAGUUCGUAGGUGGCACGUUAAGUCUGGUGUUAAAGGUACCGGCUCAACCGGUACAGGCUCUGGAAACUGGCGGGCUAGAGAGCAGGAGAGGGCGGUGGAACUCCAUGGGUAGCGGUAAAAUGCGUAGAUAUAUGGAAGAACACCAGUGGCGAAGGCGGCCGCCUGGCCUGUUAACUGACGCUGAGGCACGAAAGCGUGGGGAGCAAAUAGGAUUAGAUACCCCAGUAGUC